Molecule: transfer RNA, 59 nt
Filed under: Enterogyrus malmbergi
Lineage: Eukaryota; Metazoa; Platyhelminthes; Monogenea; Dactylogyridea; Ancyrocephalidae
Description: tRNA-Ser
Source: RNAcentral
GAAGGCUAUAAAGGUGUUACUGCUAAUAACACAAAGAGUUUUUAUUUACUCAGCUUUCU